GUACGCCCUAGCCCGCCAUUUGAAAAGCAAGUUUGGUCUUCCCAACACUCUUCAUCAGAAAGACAGAAGAGCCUUGAAGAUGCAAGAGGGACCUGUGGACACCACCAGACACACCUCAUUCCCUUGGAAAAUAGGGAGCUUGGACAAUUCUGUCUCAGCAAAAGUUUUUUUGAGUAGUCAUCUCAGCCUUUCAGAUAUAAGCUGGGGUGGGGAUGGGUUAUACUGAGCAGCACCUGGUGCAGGAAAACAAGUGAGCAUGUCUGUGUGUGCGCAUGCGCACAUCAGCAGGAGCUGGGGUGUUGGUGUGCAAGAUAUUUCAGAAGCUAGCAGCAGUAGCAGCACUUGGGAAGUUGAAAUGCUGAAACCUGUGAAUCAGUCCAAGUACAAAGCUCCCAGUUUCUAAUUUCGUACCUGUUUCCAACACCUUGAGAAGAGUCAAUCUGUGCAGAACCUCAUGCUGCUGGCAUUUUUGAUACUUGCUCCUAGGAGGAUGCAAUAAUAGAGGUGUCUCAACCAUUGAUUUCUUUGAGAAGAUACUAUGUCAUCAAUAACUUUGAGCCUGCUCUAGCAACCCCUCUGGAACUUUUCAGUGCUCACGUUCUGAAACACUCAAUAAACAACUCAAACGUCCAUCUUCUGCCCGCUAUGCUGGAAGACUCUAGAAAAGCCACAAGAAAACAGCCAAGAGGUGGGGUGAAGCUCUGAGAACUAACUGAAGAACGACUCCUCUGCGGGGUGUUAAUACCCUGCAAAGAAGCGAAUCUACUGGCAUUUUUUUAAAAAAAGAGUUUAAUAAAAAUAUAUAUGCACCAUGAGAAAAUCACAGCAAUAAUUCCUUGCACCUUUGUUCCAUGAAGCCCAAA
Molecule: long non-coding RNA, 863 nt
Organism: Cavia porcellus (domestic guinea pig)
Lineage: Eukaryota; Metazoa; Chordata; Mammalia; Rodentia; Caviidae
Exons: 3
Source: RefSeq, a predicted model, not a curated record